UUGGGACUGGAUAAACGCUGAAAGCAUCUAAGCGUGAAGCCAACCUCAAGAUGAGAUUUCCCAUAGCGUAAGCUAGUAAGACUCCUGGAAGAACACCAGUUGAUAGGUCAGAGAUGUAAGCAUGGCAACAUGUUAAGUUGACUGAUACUAAUAAGUCGAGGGCUUGACCAAAA
This 173-nucleotide ribosomal RNA is filed under the name Clostridium botulinum. RNAcentral describes it as "partial 23S ribosomal RNA". It matches the Rfam family "Bacterial large subunit ribosomal RNA", at positions 2754 to 2925 of the family's 2925-position model. Lineage: Bacteria; Bacillati; Bacillota; Clostridia; Eubacteriales; Clostridiaceae. The record is from RNAcentral.